GACGAACGCUGGCGGCGUGCUUAACACAUGCAAGUCGAACGGUGAACCAGAGCUUGCUCUGGGGAUCAGUGGCGAACGGGUGAGUAACACGUGGGCAACCUGCCCCAGACUCUGGGAUAACCUCGGGAAACCGAUGCUAAUACCGGAUACGACCACUUCGGACAUCCGACGGUGGUGGAAAGUUUUUCGGUCUGGGAUGGGCCCGCGGCCUAUCAGCUAGUUGGUGGGGUAAUGGCCUACCAAGGCGACGACGGGUAGUCGGCCUGAGAGGGCGACCGGCCACACUGGAACUGAGACACGGUCCAGACUCCUACGGGAGGCAGCAGUGGGGAAUAUUGCACAAUGGGCGAAAGCCUGAUGCAGCGACGCCGCGUGAGGGACGACGGCCUUCGGGUUGUAAACCUCUUUCAGCAGGGACGAAGCGAAAGUGACUGUACCUGCAGAAGAAGACACCGGCUAACUACGUAGCCAGCAGCCG
RNAcentral lists this ribosomal RNA (478 nucleotides) under uncultured bacterium. Its description in RNAcentral is "bacterial SSU rRNA". It matches the Rfam family "Bacterial small subunit ribosomal RNA", at positions 28 to 517 of the family's 1533-position model. The record is from RNAcentral.